This 268-nucleotide unclassified non-coding RNA is filed under the name Hevea brasiliensis (rubber tree). The record is from RNAcentral. Lineage: Eukaryota; Viridiplantae; Streptophyta; Magnoliopsida; Malpighiales; Euphorbiaceae.
UCCAUAGAUACGCCAUGGGAAGCGCCACUAAGGGCAGAACUACCAUUGAUGUAGGAGCUGAUGGUGUGGCUGUCAUUACCAUCAUCAAUCCUCCUGUUAAUUCCCUCUCUUUCGAUGGUACCCUCUUUUUCCUUUUUUUUUGUUNAAGAUAGUUUUGACCAAGCCUUAAGAAGAGAUGAUGUGAAGGCAAUUGUUGUCACGGGUGCNUCAUUUCAUGGGGCUUUAUUCUCAUUGUUAAGCUUAAUUUAAUGCGUCAUUUUCUCAUCGG